GUUCACGGGUUCCGUGGGUGAGGACAUGAACGGCUCCGCAGGGCCGCCGCUCCCUGACCGCGGGCAGGUUUCCAACGUUGUUUCUCCUCCCUGCAGUUUGCGUACGGAGUCCCAGACCUGGUGCUGAAGGACAUCGCCUGCAGCGAGGCCCUGCUGGAGCGCUUCCUCAUCUUCCCCCAGCGCCGAGGCGGGCAGAUGGCGCGCGGGGCCCUGUGCUCCCUCUCCCAGGGCACCCUGCAGUGGAUGGAGGACACGCUGUAUGCCAACGUGGACUUCUUCAAGCUCUUCCAUGUGCUUCCCAAACUUGUGGACAGCGGUUCUCAAGGUAUCAAUCUGAGAUCCUGGGGGAAAAUAUUUUCUGAUAUGUCACCAAGAAUUCAAGAACUCGUCCACCGGCGGAGUGUUCAAGACUUGCUGUGGGUGACCAGGCCCCUUGUGCAGCCUGGCAGUCCGGAGACCUUCACACGGCUGGUGGGCACCCUGUCUGACCUCUUGUGUGGCUACCCAGAGGGCGGAGGCUCCCGGGUGCUCUCCUUCAACUGGUACGAGGACAACAACUACAAGGCUUUCCUGGGGGUUGACUCCACAAGGAAAGAUCCUGUCUAUUCUUACGACAAAACAGCAACGACCUUUUGUAAUGCAUUGAUCCAGAACCUGGAGUCAAACCCUUUAACCAAAAUAGCCUGGAGGGCAGCAAAGCCUUUGCUGAUGGGAAAAAUCCUCUUUACUCCGGAUUCCCCUGCAACGCGCAGGAUACUAAAGAGCGCCAACUCGACUUUUGAAGAGCUGGAGCGCCUCAGGAAGUUGCUCAAAGCCUGGGAAGAAGUAGGGCCGGAGAUCUGGUACUUCUUUGACAAGAGCGCACAGAUGACCAUGAUCCGAGACACCCUGGAGAACCCAACAGUGAAAGCCUUUUUGAACAGACAUCUUGGUGAGGACGGUAUCACUGCCGAAGCUGUGCUGAACUUCCUCUACAAGGGUCCUCGAGAAGGCCGGGCUGACGACUCAGCCAACUUCGACUGGAGGGAUAUAUUUAACGUCACUGACCGCACCUUGCGCCUGGCUAAUCAAUACCUGGAGUGCUUGAUCCUGGAUAAGUUUGAAAGCUACGAUGAUGAAUUUCAGCUCACCCAACGAGCCCUGUCUCUGCUGGAGGAAAACAGGUUCUGGGCUGGUGUGGUAUUCCCGGACAUGUAUCCCUGGACCAGCUCCCUGCCAUCCCACGUGAAGUACAAGAUCCGAAUGGACAUAGACGUGGUGGAGAAGACCAAUAAGAUCAAAGACAGGUACUGGGAUUCUGGCCCCAGAGCUGACCCCGUGGAAGACUUCCGGUACAUCUGGGGAGGGUUUGCCUAUCUGCAGGACAUGGUUGAACAGGGGAUCACGAGGAGCCAGGCCCAGGCUGAGGUUCCAAUUGGAGUCUAUCUCCAGCAGAUGCCUUACCCCUGCUUCGUGGAUGACUCUUUUAUGAUCAUCCUGAACCGCUGUUUCCCUAUCUUCAUGGUGCUGGCCUGGAUCUACUCUGUCUCCAUGACUGUAAAGAGCAUCGUCUUGGAGAAGGAGUUGAGACUGAAGGAGACCUUGAAAAAUCAGGGUGUCUCCAACACAGUGAUUUGGUGUACCUGGUUCCUGGACAGCUUCUCUAUUAUGCUGAUGAGCAUCUGCCUCCUGACAGUAUUCAUCAUGCAUGGAAGGAUCCUACACUACAGCAACCCGUUCAUCCUCUUCCUGUUCCUGUUGGCCUUCUCCACCGCUACGAUCAUGCAGUGCUUCCUGCUCAGCACCUUCUUCUCCAGGGCCAGCCUGGCCGCAGCCUGCAGCGGCGUCAUCUACUUCACCCUCUACCUGCCGCACAUCCUCUGCUUCGCCUGGCAGGACCGAAUGACGGCCGGCCUGAAGAUGGCUGUGAGCCUGCUGUCUCCUGUGGCUUUUGGGUUUGGCACCGAGUACCUGGCUCGCUUUGAGGAGCAAGGCCUGGGGCUGCAGUGGAGCAACAUUGGGAACAGUCCCACGGAAGGGGAUGAAUUCAGCUUUCUGAUGUCCAUGAAGAUGAUGCUCCUGGAUGCUGCUCUCUAUGGUUUGCUUGCCUGGUAUCUUGACCAGGUUUUUCCAGGGGACUAUGGAACCCCACUCCCGUGGUACUUCCUUCUACAAGAGUCUUACUGGCUUGGCGGUGAAGGGUGUUCGACCAGAGAAGAAAGGGCCCUGGAAAAAACGGAACCUGUAACAGAGGAAAUGGAGGACCCGGAACACCCAGAGGGAAUAAAAGACUGCUUCUUUGAACGUGAGCUUCCAGGCUUGGUUCCUGGAGUAUGUGUGAAGAAUCUGGUGAAGACUUUUGAGCCCUACGGCAGGCCAGCCGUGGACCGUCUUAACAUUACCUUCUACGAAAACCAGAUCACCGCUUUCCUCGGUCACAAUGGAGCAGGGAAAACCACUACCUUGUCCAUCAUGACGGGUCUCCUGCCCCCGACAUCUGGGACCGUGCUCAUUGGGGGAAAGGACAUUGAAACCAGCCUGGAUGCAGUCCGGCAGAGCCUUGGCAUGUGUCCACAGCACAACAUCUUGUUCCACCACCUCACAGUGGCCGAACACAUCCUCUUCUACGCCCAGCUGAAAGGGAGGUCCUGGGAGGAGGCCCAGCUGGAGGUGGAAGCCAUGCUGGAGGACACAGGCCUCCACCACAAGAGGAAUGAGGAAGCUCAGGAUCUAUCAGGUGGGAUGCGGAGGAAGCUGUCCGUUGCCAUUGCCUUCGUAGGAGAUGCCAAGGUGGUGGUUCUCGACGAGCCCACCUCUGGGGUGGACCCCUACUCCAGGCGCUCCAUCUGGGACCUGCUCCUGAAGUAUCGCUUGGGAAGAACCAUCAUCAUGUCCACUCACCACAUGGACGAGGCCGACCUCCUCGGGGACCGCAUCGCCAUCAUUUCCCAGGGACGGCUCUACUGCGCGGGCACCCCGCUCUUCCUGAAGAACUGCUUUGGCACAGGCUUCUACCUCACCUUGGUGCGCAAGAUGAAAACUGUCCAGAGCCAAGAAAGAGGCUGCGAGGGGCCCUGCGGCUGUGCCUCCAAGGGUUUCUCCACCAGGUGUCCAGCCUGUGCUGACGGUUUAGCUCCCGAACAAGCCUUGGACGGGGAUGUGAACGAGCUGAUGGAUAUGGUUCGCCACCAUGUUCCAGAGGCAAAGCUGGUGGAGUGCAUUGGUCAAGAACUCAUCUUCCUUCUUCCAAAUAAGAAUUUCAAGCAGAGAGCAUACGCCAGCCUUUUCAGAGAGCUGGAGGAGACGCUGGCUGACCUGGGGCUCAGCAGUUUUGGGAUUUCUGACACUCCCCUGGAGGAGAUAUUUCUGAAGGUCACGGAAGACUCUGAUUCAGGACCUCUGUCUGCAGGCGGCUCUCAGCAGAAAAGAGAAAACAGCAGCCUCCGACACCCCUGUCUGGGUCCUGGUGAGGGGGCCAGGCCCACUCCUCAGGGCGGGGGGCCGGCUCCUCAGCCCGAGGGCCCGCCUUCCCCCCAGCGGGAGGGGCGUGGCCGGCUCAACACGGGAGCGCGGCUGGUCCUGCAGCACAUGCAGGCGCUGCUGGUCAAGCGGUUCCAGCACACCGUCCGCAGCCACAAGGACUUCCUGGCCCAGAUUGUGCUCCCGGCCACUUUUGUGUUUUUGGCUCUGAUGCUUUCCGUCAUCAUCCCUCCUUUUGGCGAAUAUCCUGCUUUGACCCUUCACCCCUGGAUGUAUGGGCAGCAGUACACCUUCUUCAGCAUGGACCAGCCGGACAGCGAGCGGCUCGUGGCACUUGCAGACGUCCUCGUGAACAAGCCAGGCUUUGGCAACCGAUGCCUAAAGGAAGGAUGGCUUCCGGAGUUCCCCUGUGGCAACUCAACCCCCUGGAAGACCCCCUCUGUGUCCCCAGACAUCGCCCACCUGUUUCAGAAGCAGAAGUGGACAGCAGACCAGCCCUCGCCUUCCUGCAGGUGCAGCACCAGAGAGAAGCUCACCAUGCUCCCCGAGUGCCCCGAGGGCGCCGGGGGGCUCCCGCCCCCUCAGAGGAUGCAGCGCAGCACUGAGAUUCUCCAAGACCUCACGGACAGGAACCUCUCUGACUUCUUGGUGAAAACGUAUCCUGCUCUUAUACGAAGCAGCUUGAAGAGCAAAUACUGGGUCAACGAACAGAGGUACGGAGGAAUUUCCGUCGGAGGAAAGCUCCCAGGUCUCCCCAUCACUGGGGAAGCACUUGUUGGAUUUCUAAGUGACCUUGGCCAGUUAAUGAAUGUGAGCGGGGGCCCUGUCACCAGAGAGGCCUCUAAAGAAAUGUCUGCGUUCCUUAAACAUCUAGAAACCGAAGACAACAUUAAGGUGUGGUUUAACAACAAAGGCUGGCAUGCCCUGGUCAGCUUCCUCAACGUGGCCCACAACGCCGUCCUCCGGGCCAGCCUGCCCGCGGACAGGAACCCCGAGGAGUAUGGCGUCACUGUCAUAAGCCAGCCCCUGAACCUGACCAAGGAGCAGCUCUCAGAGAUCACAGUCCUGACCACGUCGGUGGAUGCCGUGGUGGCCAUCUGCGUGAUUUUCGCCAUGUCCUUCGUCCCCGCCAGCUUUGUCCUUUAUUUGAUCCAGGAGAGAGUGAACAAAGCCAGGCACCUCCAGUUUAUCAGUGGAGUGAGCCCCACCACCUACUGGCUGACCAACUUCCUCUGGGACAUCAUGAAUUACUCCGUGAGCGCGGCUCUGGUGGUGGGCAUCUUCAUCGGGUUCCAGAAGAAAGCCUACACGUCUCCAGACAGCCUUCCAGCCCUUGUGGCCCUGCUCAUGCUGUACGGGUGGGCCGUCAUCCCCAUGAUGUACCCAGCAUCCUUCCUGUUUGAUGUCCCCAGCACAGCAUACGUGGCCCUAUCCUGUGCUAACCUGUUCAUCGGCAUCAACAGCAGCGCCAUCACCUUCAUCUUGGAAUUAUUUGAGAACAACCAGACGCUGCUCUGGUUCAAUGCCAUGCUGAGGAAGCUGCUCAUUAUCUUCCCCCACUUCUGCCUGGGCCGGGGCCUCAUUGACCUGGCGCUGAGCCAGGCCGUGACAGACGUCUAUGCCCGGUUUGGUGAGGAGCACUCUUCUAAUCCGUUCCAGUGGGACCUGAUUGGGAAGAACCUGGUUGCCAUGGCAGCAGAAGGGGUGGUGUACUUCCUCCUGACCCUCCUCAUCCAGUACCAAUUCUUCUUCAGCCCAUGGACCACCCAGCCAGUGAAGGAGCCCAUCAUAGAUGAAGAUGAUGAUGUGGCCGAAGAAAGACAAAGAAUUACUAGUGGAGGAAAUAAAACUGAUAUCUUAAGGCUAAAUGAACUAACAAAGGUUUAUUCCGGCGCCUCCAGCCCGGCGGUGGACAGGCUAUGUGUGGGAGUCCGCCCUGGGGAGUGCUUCGGCCUCCUGGGAGUGAACGGAGCUGGCAAAACAACCACAUUCAAGAUGCUCACUGGAGACACCACAGUGACCUCAGGCGAUGCCACAGUAGCAGGCAAGAGUAUUUUAACCAAUAUUUCUGACGUCCAUCGAAGUAUGGGCUACUGUCCUCAGUUUGAUGCAGUUGAUGACCUGCUUACAGGGCGAGAACAUCUCUACCUCUAUGCCCGGCUUCGAGGCGUGCCAGCAGAGGAAAUCAAGAGGGUAAAACAGGGUUUGUUGUGGCCACUCGAGUUUGGUAAACCAUGAACCUGCUUCAUGAGAGUGCAUAUAUUUAGAGAUGGGAAAGCUCAAGCACACUGUCCAUUCAUUCACUCAGCAAAUGCUUACUGAGUGUCUGCUAUGUGCUAAGUACUAUUCUAGAAAACGGGGGUGAACAAAACAGAAGAAAAAAUUCCUGCCCUCGUAUCUAACAAAACUGACAUCUGCAUUCACCCUUUGAUCCAACAGUCCCACUUCUGGGUGUUUACCCUGAAGGCACACCUCCCACAGCACAAAAUGCAUAUGCACAAGGUUACUCACUGCAUUUUAGUCACAAAAUAUUGGAAAUUAGCUAAAUGUUCAGGCAUAGGAAAGUGGCUGAAUAACUGAUGGUAAAUAUAUACAAUGAAGUCUUAUGCAGUUAUUAAAAAAACAAAAACAAAAACAAUAAAAAUCUCUGAACUGAUACAGUUAUUUCUAGGAGACAUUGUUAAGUGAAAAAAGCAAAGUACAAAGGAGCACAUGUAGAAUGCUACUAUUUAAUGUAAGAAAGAAAAGCAAGAAAGCAUAAAUACGCCCGUUAUCUUCACAAAUAGAAAUGCAGGAAGGAUAAGCUGGAAGACUGACUGCGAUGAUCAGCAAGAGGGAAAUGAGGUGAAAGGAAAAUGGAAGGGGUAACGCUUCUCUCAGGAUAUUUUUGGUUUAGUUUAAACUUCUGGAAGCAUGUUAAUGUUCUACAUAUUCAAAACACAAAACUAAAUCGAUAAGAAUGGGAAAGAGGUAGAAGUGAAGACAGAAAAUCCUGACACGGAAAGCAAACAAAGCAAGGUAAUCCGACUUUUAUUUCAAACGAAUGUAACCGUCAGACAGACGGGAGGAAAGAACUAACGCACAUAACUGAGGCAGCAGAAUUUGACUGUGUGUCUUCAGUCCUGGGAAGAUUUUGUAUGAAAAGCAAGAUAUUUGUAUGGCGUGAAAGUGUCUCCCGCAGACUGCUGACGGGCUGUGGGGGGAACAGGGGAGGAGUCAGACAGCACCUCAGCUGAGGGACCGAAACUACCACCAGCUCUGAGGGGCACAUGCUCGGACGUGACCCCCUGAGAAGGACACAGCUUCAUCUGGUAAUAUUCUGAUUGGGACGCACAGCCUGAACCUUGUGAGGGAACAUUGGACAAGCUCUACAGGAACAUUCUAUUAAGAAAUAUAUAGGGGUCAUAUUCUUCAAAAUUAUCAAGAUCAUAAAAGACAGAAUGGCAGAGAAAGGGUAGGGAGGGGUUCCUGAUCCCAGGAAGCUGAGUGGACACAGUGUGGCUGAGUGAUGGACACCAGACCGCAGCUUGUGCUGGAGGGAAAAUGGCGCUGUGAAGGGCACCCCUGGGCGGUUGGACAGAAGCAGGCUGCAGAAGGCGGUGACAGACUGGAGUAUUCAGAGCCUGGGCCUGUCCCUCUACGCGGACCGCCUGGCCGGCACCUACAGCGGAGGCAAUAAGCGGAAACUCUCCACGGCCAUUGCGCUGAUAGGCUGCC
Non-coding RNA from Vicugna pacos (alpaca), 7176 nucleotides. The record is from RefSeq and is a predicted model, not a curated record. Lineage: Eukaryota; Metazoa; Chordata; Mammalia; Artiodactyla; Camelidae.